This 395-nucleotide ribosomal RNA is filed under the name uncultured bacterium. RNAcentral's name for it is "bacterial SSU rRNA". It matches the Rfam family "Bacterial small subunit ribosomal RNA", at positions 28 to 430 of the family's 1533-position model. The record is from RNAcentral.
GACGAACGCUGGCGGCGUGCUUAACACAUGCAAGUCGAACGGUGAAGCCCUUCGGGGUGGAUCAGUGGCGAACGGGUGAGUAACACGUGAGCAAUCUGCCCUUGACUCUGGGAUAACUUCGGGAAACCGGAGCUAAUACCGGAUACGACAUACGAUCGCAUGGUCUGUGUGUGGAAAGAUUUAUCGGUCAGGGAUGAGCUCGCGGCCUAUCAGCUUGNGGUGGGGUAAUGGCCUACCAAGGCGACGACGGGUAGCCGGCCUGAGAGGGCGACCGGCCACACUGGGACUGAGACACGGCCCAGACUCCUACGGGAGGCAGCAGUGGGGAAUAUUGCGCAAUGGGCGAAAGCCUGACGCAGCGACGCCGCGUGAGGGAUGAAGGCCUGGUCGUAACC